RNAcentral lists this ribosomal RNA (572 nucleotides) under Arthrinium phaeospermum. RNAcentral describes it as "eukaryotic LSU rRNA". The stretch from base 242 to 395 matches the Rfam family "5.8S ribosomal RNA". The record is from RNAcentral. Lineage: Eukaryota; Fungi; Ascomycota; Sordariomycetes; Amphisphaeriales; Apiosporaceae.
UUCCGUAGGGGGAACCUGCGGAGGGAUCAUUACAGAGUUAUACAACUCCCAUACCAUUUGUAAACUUUACUCAGUUAUGCCUCGGCGUGAACUGCGUACGGAGGCAGAGUGGUGUUACCCGGUAGCUUACCCUGUAGGUUACCCUGUAGCGCUACCCUGUAUCAACUCCCGCGCAGCCCGCCGGUGGUACACUAAACUCUUGUUUUAUUUUAUAUUCUGAGCGUAUUAUUUUAAUAAUUAAAACUUUCAACAACGGAUCUCUUGGUUCUGGCAUCGAUGAAGAACGCAGCGAAAUGCGAUAAGUAAUGUGAAUUGCAGAAUUCAGUGAAUCAUCGAAUCUUUGAACGCACAUUGCGCCCAUCAGUAUUCUGGUGGGCAUGCCUGUUCGAGCGUCAUUUCAACCCUUAAGCCUAGCUUAGUGUUGGGAAUCUACUGUAUUGUAGUUCCUUAAAGACAGUGGCGGAGCACAGUAGUCCUCUGAGCGUAGUAAAUUUAUUUCUCGCUUCUGUAAGGCUCUGUUCUCCCGCCAUAAAACCCCCAAUUUUUUAGUGGUUGACCUCGGAUCAGGUAGG